This 697-nucleotide ribosomal RNA is filed under the name uncultured Bacteroidota bacterium. Its description in RNAcentral is "bacterial SSU rRNA". It matches the Rfam family "Bacterial small subunit ribosomal RNA", at positions 61 to 755 of the family's 1533-position model. The record is from RNAcentral. Lineage: Bacteria; Pseudomonadati; Bacteroidota.
GUCGAGGGAGAUUGUUGGAUUCGUCUGACAUGAAACCGGCGCACGGGUGCGUAACACGUAUGCAACCUACCUUUAACUGGGGUAUAGCUCAGAGAAAUCUGAAUUAAUCCCCCAUAAGACUACGACAUGGCAUCAUGAUGUAGUUAAAGCUCCGGCGGUUAAGGAUGGGCAUGCGGUACAUUAGCUAGUUGGUGAGGUAAUGGCUCGCCAAGGCUACGAUGUAUAGGGGGUCUGAGAGGAUGAUCCCCCACACUGGUACUGAGACACGGACCAGACUCCUACGGGAGGCAGCAGUAGGGAAUAUUGGUCAAUGGACGCAAGUCUGAACCAGCCAUGCCGCGUGAAGGAUGAAGGCCCUCUGGGUCGUAAACUUCUUUUAUUAGGGAAGAAAACAUGGGAUGCGUCCCAAACUGACGGUACUUAAUGAAUAAGGAUCGGCUAACUUCGUGCCAGCAGCCGCGGUAAGACGAAGGAUCCAAGCGUUGUCCGGAUUUACUGGGUUUAAAGGGUGCGUAGGCGGAAAAUUAAGUCAGUGGUGAAAGCCCGCAGCUCAACUGUGGAACUGCCAUCGAAACUGAUUUUCUUGAAUAUAGCUGAGGCAGAUGGAAUAUAACAUGUAGCGGUGAAAUGCUUAGAUAUGUUAUAGAACACCGAUUGCGAAGGCAGUCUGCUAAACUAUUAUUGACGCUGAGGCACG